This 22-nucleotide non-coding RNA is filed under the name Rattus norvegicus (Norway rat). The record is from RNAcentral. Lineage: Eukaryota; Metazoa; Chordata; Mammalia; Rodentia; Muridae.
AUUUCAAAAGGUAGCCUAUCAA